Molecule: ribosomal RNA, 497 nt
Filed under: uncultured bacterium
Lineage: Bacteria
Description: partial 16S ribosomal RNA
Rfam family: Bacterial small subunit ribosomal RNA
Source: RNAcentral
GAUGAACGCUGGCGGCGUGCCUAAUACAUGCCAGUCGAGCGGACAGAUGAGGAGCUUGCUCCUCUGACGUUAGCGGCGGACGGGUGAGUAACACGUGGAUAACCUACCUAUAAGACUGGGAUAACUUCGGGAAACCGGAGCUAAUACCGGAUAAUAUAUUGAACCGCAUGGUUCAAUAGUGAAAGACGGUUUUGCUUUCACUUAUAGAUGGAUCCGCGCCGCAUUAGCUAGUUGGUAAGGUAACGGCUUACCAAGGCAACGAUGCGUAGCCGACCUGAGAGGGUGAUCGGCCACACUGGAACUGAGACACGGUCCAGACUCCUACGGGAGGCAGCAGUAAGGAAUCUUCCGCAAUGGGCGAAAGCCUGACGGAGCAACGCCGCGUGAGUGAUGAAGGUCUUCGGAUCGUAAAACUCUGUUAUUAGGGAAGAACAAAUGUGUAAGUAACUAUGCACGUCUUGACGGUACCUAAUCAGAAAGCCACGGCUAACUACGUG